CCGGCACGGGUGAGUAACCCGUAUCCAACCUGCCGUCUACUCUUGGACAGCCUUCUGAAAGGAAGAUUAAUACAAGAUGGCAUCAUGAGUCCGCAUGUUCACAUGAUUAAAGGUAUUCCGGUAGACGAUGGGGAUGCGUUCCAUUAGAUAGUAGGCGGGGUAACGGCCCACCUAGUCUUCGAUGGAUAGGGGUUCUGAGAGGAAGGUCCCCCACAUUGGAACUGAGACACGGUCCAA
This 237-nucleotide ribosomal RNA is filed under the name uncultured bacterium. RNAcentral describes it as "partial 16S ribosomal RNA". It matches the Rfam family "Bacterial small subunit ribosomal RNA", at positions 100 to 334 of the family's 1533-position model. The record is from RNAcentral.